ACCUUCCAUCUCUCCACCAGGAACUCCAGAAUAUCAGCGUAGUCCUUGGCAGUGUAAACCCCAAGUCUUUGUGCAACAGCUGAGAAGUGGUCGAAAAGGUUGUCAUCUCGGCCAUCAUACAUCAAGUGGGCAGGCAUCGAGAUUUUCUUUCUCAUCAUGUCAGCAAAGGCCAGGACAGUACCAUCAGGAUCAAUCUCAAAGAGCUUUUCCACGAUUUUAGUAUAAGCUGUCUCAUGGCGCCUUUCAUCCGAGGCAAUCGUCCCACAUAUUUGAGCCAACUUAAAGUCCCCAUGCUCCUUGGCAAGUCUGGCUGUAUUCCCAUGGGAGAUAAAAGUUGCCCUUUCUUGGAAUGAUGUGUAGAUGAAUCCAAGAUAAGGGCUGUUUUCUGUGCGGGGAUCCUAUAAAUACAGAAGAAGAGACUUUAAAAAGAUUGAUCAAUAGGGGGGAAAAGAGCUCACUGGAUGGAUUGUACCACUCUAAAAAUGGCAUCUAGCCUGUAUGUUUAUUUUGAGGUGAAAAGUAGUUAAAUGUCAUAAUAUACACAAUUUAGUGAAAUUCCAGCAUUGAUACAGUGCAAUGUUAAGAUGAAUGCAUUUUCACAAGGUGUAACUCCAAAAUAGAAGAUAAAUAGAAACGAAAAGGAAGCCUAUACUUUGUGUGCAUGGAUUUUCUCAUCCCCUCCGCACUCAAAGAAAACACCACCAAAAGACUAAAGAAAAAAUAACUUAAUAAAUUGUCACCAAGAGACCCCGAUAUGCAGUCCUUCAAAGAAUUGCAAAGGAUUUAAUAAAGUCAUAAAUGUCAAGUGCAUUUAAAGGUUCAAAAUCAAACUAUAAUGAGUGAAUAAAUUGAGUAGCAAGCAUCUUACCAUUCCUGAUCCAAUCAAAUACUGGAUUGUCUUCUCAAUUUGUCUCAUGUCCACUCUUCCAGACAAGUAGAGAUACUUAUUAAGUAGAUCACCAUGCCUAUUUUCUUCAGCUGUCCAUGCCCUCGUCCAAAUUGCCCAAGAGGUGAGGCUAGCACCCGUUUCAUCAAGAACUCCAUCUAAGGUAUUAAGCAUUGUUUGGUAAGUUGGAAGGGCUUCCUCUGUGAUCAUAUCACCAACCAAAACAACAAAGUAAUCAUCUGGAAUCUCCUUAGCCCUUUCCCUUAGUUCUUUUACUUGCUCAUCAAAUCCAUCAGAAGCAGGAUCUGGAAGAAAAUCCUGGGGUUGCCAACAUUUCUCAACUGGUUUGAGGUGAACUAAAAUGUUCUGCUCAGCCCAGUUCUCCAAAGAUUUAAAGAUCUCAAUCUUUUGUGGUGGCAUGGAGUGGGUGACCUGAACAUGCACCUCCCGAGGAGGCAUGAAAGGCUUUUUGACAUUCUCAACCUCUCUGCAUUAAGUAAAUAAAUCCUAUGUAAGCAAGGAUUACAUUCUCACAGUUCAGAUCUGCAAGUAAGGAUUAAAAGGCAACAAUAAAUUGCAUAAGCACAAAUCUUAUCUCUUUACUGCAUGUUCCAGAAUAUCCAGCACAUGAAAACAAUAAAGCAGGGACCAAAAGGAUAUGCAAUAACAAUUUAUGAAACAUCUUUAAAUGUUGGCCCAAAAAUAGCAGCUUUAUAUACUUUGUGUAAGAUACCCCAGGCUGCUGAUUACAAAACCAGACUACGUUUCAACAUAACUAGUAAUACAUUAUCAAAUAGAGUCAUUAAUUACUGGGCCAUAAAUUAGAACUCAAGUUCUAAAAUCCCAGAAGCCACAAUUUAGUGCGAAAAUAUUUAGUGUCCGAAGCAAAGCCCUUUAAGGCUAGAGGUGCACCAAAUAUAAGGAAAGGAACAUGUAGGAGAUCAAAUGAGAGUUCAGGAAAUGGGGUCAAAUCAUUAUUCGCACAAGGUCUGCCACUGUGAAUAUCACCUUAUGAAAUGCGAAAAGGAUUAGUUUGUCAUUUUAACUUGCUCAAACUAGUCCCAGCUGUAACUCAACACAGCCAGUACAUGACAGAUAAAGAUUUAAGAAAUAUUUUGCUUUGAGAUGUUCAAUGAAGUACAAGCAUGUUACUGCAGAAACCUCACUGUUUGCAGUGCACAAACUACUUGUAAGGCCUUGUCCCUCUCUGCAAAGUACAUGUAAUCGGCUCCCAUGUUUCUUUUUACAUUUCUUUUUAAAACAAAGUGCAAAUGCACUUUUAAUAAUUGCAACUAUAUACAUACAUACAUACAUACAUACAUACAUAUAUAUAUAUUCCAAGAUGUUAGAAUAAAGGGCUUUAAAGUGCUAUAAGUAGCAAAAACAUAGAGCAGACCCAGUAGGGGAAUCGGCAUUCUAUAGUAGCAUAAAUAAGUGACAGCAUCCAAGACAUCAAAUGAAAAAAGAAAUGUUAAGUAUCAAACUUAAAAAUUGCCAAUUGUUUAUCUGAUUUUUUAAAAAUUGUAAAUAAUCAUGUUUUUAAGUGCUUUUGUAUAAGUACAAACUUAUUAAAUGCUUCUUCUGUCCUUUCAAAAAGAAAAAAAAUGCUUUAUCUGCACAACCCAUAGCUUAUGACCAUAUGACCACUAAUUAAAUGAUAAGAAUUUACAUUGCAAGAACCAUUUGGAAAGUAAUGUAGGUUGACUACAUUACCAUUUAUCAGAAAGAACACAAAUAGCUAUCAACCUACUCUCAACAACCACAAGAAAAACCAUAUUGCUGAGACCAUAUGAUGGAACCCAAAGAGACACUCAGACCAAACAUGAGGAAAAUCGUAUGCAAAUAAGGGAAAAUGGAUAGAAGUCCAUAAACAUCAGUACCUCACAAACCAUACAAAAACUACGGCAAGAGUAGACUACAAAGAGGCAGUUCAUGGAUAACCCCCCAGAAAUGCACAAAACAAAUACCAGGAAAAAUGCUCAUGGAAAAUUAUUUUAAAUAUUCUUUUUCCAGUACAUGCAUAUAGCCAUGACUUAAAGGUUGCAAGUAAGGUAAUAAUCAAAUAUCCUUCACCUGAUACAGGAAGAAUGUUCAAAGUAUCAAAACUAUGUUAACCAAGUUGAGUAUUUAUACUCUUUGAGAAAGGUAAAAAGAUUAUAAGGAGAUUUAAAGAUCAAAUAUGAAGAAAAAGUACUUCAAAAUCAGUUAAUUAAAAUGUUAACAAACGACAACAUUUAAAAGUAAAAAAGUCCACUCCUAAGAGAAAUCAUGAGGAACAUAUGUAUUCUGUUUAAAAGGACAGAUUUUUUUUUUUAAAAAGGGAACAAGAAUAAUAGAGUACUGAGGAGUAAGGACAACAGAUUCCAAACUACUCUACCAACUUGAAUAUUCUUUCAAGGUAUAGAUUCAACCAUAGUGCAAAAAACAGUAACGUGAAAUUACUUAAAAGAAAGAGGAAAACUACCCAUCAGCCAGUAUGUCUAGAGAACCUGAACUACUUCCACCAACUUGAUUAUUCUUUUCAAGACAUAGAUUCAACCAUGUUGAAACAAAGUACAUUGAAAUAAAUGAAAAGAAAAUAGGGCAAAAUUACAGUAAUACAUCAGCUAAUAAAAUGUUCUUAGAUCAGAAACAUGACCCAAAAACAGUAAGAUCCUUUUGUGUAAAGUAUUCAUAAGAUUGGAAAUUAAAUUAAACAAAAGAGGUAACAUAAAUACAGAAACAAAUGACAUAGUGACAUAUAACGGAAACAUUCUCACAUGGUAUGGGAGCCCCAAAAAUCACCCUGAGUAUCAGCAAGAGCAUAUUACAUCAUGAAUCAGGAACAGGUAUGCAUGACACAAAAACCUUGAACAAUUUGUUUUUUGUAUGAAUGAAAAGGGAUGAGGCCCAGAUACAUAUGCGCAAAUGAGACGCUUCUAACCCAUCAGGAGCAACAUCAAGGAUAAAAACUUUCAACAUAUUGGCUAAACUACUCAAGACUCCAUCAUAUCAACAGGUAAAAAACAUGCAACAGGUGGGAGAAAAUGCUUGAAAGACCAUGAUCCAAAAAAGACAAAUUAGGAAAUCGUAAAUAACAAAUUUACCCCAAAAUUAAUAAAGAAGAUAAGGUUUACCUAGACAAAGCAUAAAAUUGCUUUAAAAAAAGAAACGAAGAAGAAUGUAUUACACAACAGAAAUAGCAUCCAAUUAAUGCAAACCCAAAGAAUAAAUUCCUUUAGACAAAGUUAGUUGAGAAAGAAAUUAAUCUCCUAACAGGCCCCAAUACCACCCAUUGAAAGAGACAAAAAGAAAAACACUGUAAGCCUUAACAUCAUAGAUUGCAUUAAAAACCAGAUAAUCAAUAAAAAGAAGUUGAAUAGAAUAAGAUUAUCAGGAAUUAGAUAUUUUUAGUUUCUUUAAUUCCUCUCAAACAAAAACAAGACAUGAAACUGGAAAACCAAAUAUUUGACUUUUCUUCAAAUCAAACUUCACUUGAAAGAAACUACUAGAAGAAAAAGCUGUCAAAAAUUUAAAAAAAAAGGAAGAAAACGUUUUCCAGGUUGCUUUGAUUGUACGUCUUUCUUUGAAAACCGUCCCAAAUACGCUUUAAACAAAUGGAACCUGUCACUAUCAAACCCCCAUGCUUAUCUUGCAGUCAAACCAAUUGUAAAAAACAAGAAAUUCACAUCACGAUUAAUACACUCAAGAAUAAUAAAAGAAAAGAAAGCAUAAGAAAGUUAAAUACGAUACAUGAACCUUUUUCUCUCUCAAAAUUAAUAGCACUCGUGAAUUUCAAUGAAGCACAUAAGAAAGGCUUAUAUCAAGUUCUCAAUGUCUCAAUUUUAAUAAUGCAAAUACAGACCACCCAGCAACAUGAAAUCAAAUUACAAAAAGAUCAAAAGAAAGAUGGUGAACAUAUUCACUACUAGAAAGGCGACCAAAAUUACUACAAGAAAUGUGCUAUUCCUAUCAUUGCACCUAAUUAAGCACAAUUUGAUAUAGAGAAGCAAUUGAUAAUAAUAACAAUGAGCUUUUUUUUUUUUGAACUGUAAUAAUAAUAAAGAGCUAAAAAGUACUAAAACCUAGAAUACGAAAUGGACCUUAUUUCAAUGAUUUCUAAAUUAAAAUUAACAAACCCAAAUGGAAAGGAACAACAUUAGAGGCCAUUUAACAUUAAGAACAUUUAGAUCAUAAGACAUCACCACAUAAAAGAGAGCUCUUGAAAUCCAUGUUGGCAAAAACAACAAAGACCCAGAUCCAAAAUCAACUAAAACUCAAGGAAAGUAGUCAAGAUCCAUGCUUUAACAAGAAAAUAAUGAUGUUAGACUAAUUAACAAAGACAAAAUUAAAAAAGAAAAGGAAAGAAAGAAAGGCACUAACUUGGAGCCAGAACGAAGAGUGGAGGCCAUGAAAAACUUGGGAGAUCUGAGGCUGGCCAUUGGUGGAAGAGCAAAAUACGGAAGUUUCUGAGAUUGAGAAGUGAUGGGAUUCAAUUUCAGAGCCAUUUGUUCUGCGUUUGCUUGGUUCUGGUUUUUUUCUCUGCUUAUUUGGUGCUUAAGACCCCUCUGGCUAUUCUCUUUGGGCUUCUGCUUCAGCAGCUUCACUUUACUCCACAAAAGAGAAAAAACACACUUUGCGAAAGAAAGGGACAAUAAAUAGAGCGCCCACUCAGUGGAUAUCAAAUGCAUCCACUUUAACACUUUAGCCCUAACUUUCCUUUUAAUUACUGAUUGCCCAUCAUUCCUACCCUCCCUAUUGAAUUUUUAUUUCGUGAAAUUACGACAUAGGAACAACAAAUUCGAUAAAUAUUAUGAAAUAUUUCAUCUAAAUGAAAUUCUAUAACUGUCAAAAUUUGUCUCGAAAAAGCUUUUUAUUUGUGUUUAUUACUUUUUUUUGGCUGAAAGUGAAGUAGAAUGGUACUGAUAUACCAAUUCGAAUCAGGCAAAAUUGGACCACUCUUUCAUUGCAUAGACGUCCCCAUCACUCUACAACGUAUGCUUGCAAUUCCUCCAUGAAAGGAUAAUAAUUUGUUCUUCUAUACAUAAAUAAAUAAUUUUUUUAAAGAAAGUUUAUGAGAUAGCAGGGAAUUUCAGCUUUGAAUCUCUAUUAAGUUGUAUCUUAACGAUUAAGUUUAGGUUAAAUAUUUUGAUAUUUUAAAAUUUUGAUCAAAAUUAUACAAAAAUUUAUUGAUUUGAGAAAUAGAUACUCUGUUUUAAAAACCUUAACCCUGUUAAUAAAAAAACAAAAAAUUAAAAUAUCUUUAAUUUUUAUUUUUAAAAUUUUUUCCUUAAAAAAUUUUUAUUUCCAAAUCAUAUUUGACGCAUCGCCCUCCCUCAAGGGAGUGCAUCAACGACGCUCGCCUAGGGAAUGCAGAUUUGGCCGCGCCCCCUCAGGGGAGUGCAGCAAUAAUGCUGCCUUAGGGAACGCAGAUUUGGCCACGCUCCCUCACGGUAAUGUGACAAUGGCAUUCCCCCAGGAAGUGCAGCUAGAGAGGGAGCGCGAUGUGCCAAACCCGACCGAAUUUGGCUUGGAAGUAAAGUUCUUUUAAGAAAAAAAAUGAAAAAUAAAGGAUAUUUUAGUUUUUUUAUCUUUUCUGUUUAUGGUGUUAAAGCUUUUAAAAUAGCGUGUCUAUUUCUCAAACCAAUAAAUUUUUAUAUAAUUUUGAUUAAAAUUUAAAGGUGUCUAGGCAUUUUACCUUUUAAGUUUUGGAUGUCUUUUGCACCCUAAUAGUAAUUAUUUGUUUUUAUUUUUUUACAUACUUGAGAGCUUGUUAUAAAAUAAAAAUAAAAGGUAAAAAAUUAAAUUAUAAGUACACAAGAAUACAUAAAGUAUACAUAAAAACUUAGUAUCUGUUAUAUAUAAUAAAAUACUUUAAUGCUUAAAAUUACUCUAAAAUAUUUUUAAAAAUUUAAAUAAAAUCAGUAUUCUUUUAUUACGGACUAUCGAAUUCUUACAUUUUAUUUUUUACAAAAUAAAUUCUUAUAACUAACAAUUUAUUAAUUAGCAUUAGUCAAAACAUUACUUGUCAUAUCAUGUCCACAUAAAGCUAACGUGAUAUUGAUGUGAAAAAUUAAAAAUGUGAUGCGAUUAUGUCAACAUGUAACGUGAUCAUUUAUUAUGAUAUGUCAACAUACACAUAAUAUAAAAAUGACAAAAAGUAUUUUGAUUAACAAUAUAUUAAUUAAUUGUUAAUUAUAAAAUAAAAAUACAAUAAUAUGACUUAACGUAAUAAAAGAAUACAAAUUAUUUAAAUUUUUUUAAAUAAUUUAUAAACUUUUUAAAAUAUUAUGUCUCGAAAAUAGAAAUUUGUUUUUCGUCUAAACGAUUUUUUCAUGUUUUCUUUUUUUCUUUCAAAAACAAAUAAGAAAAAUAAGGAGCAAACACAAAUUAAAUAAAACAUUUAAGUAAUUGGUUUAGUAAUUAAUACAUGAAACCUUUGUCAAAAGCCAAUGUCCAUAUAUUAGAAUUGAAUACCCAUUUGGUAUUUUAAGGGCCUGGUCCUGGAGAUCCAAAGCCGUUGAUGUUUAGUAUAAUUAAGCGGUGUCAAGAAUCUAACCAUAGCAAAAAAAUAAGUCAUUAUACUUUUUAUUCUAAUUAAUUGAGUCUUCUAGCACUUAUUUUAAGUCAAUUACUUUUUUUAUUAGAAAAGAUCAUGUAAAUUAAUACGAGUAAUCCUUUUUACUAAUUGAUAUAUAUUAUUAUAUAUAAUAUAUAUAUAUAUAUUUGAGACAUAUAUAUUAAUAACACAUGGCAAAAUUUAAUGAAUUUCAUUGACAAAGAGAGUUAAAUCAUUAACAAUAUAGUCCACUCGUUUUCAUUUUAAAUGAGGGGCAAAUAAAACAUUUAAGUAUUUGGUUAAUAAUUAAUGCAUGAAACCUUUGCCGAAAGCAGGUGUCUAGAUAUUAGAAUUGAAUACCCAUUUGCAUUUUAAGGGCUUGGCCCUGAGAUCCAAAGCCAUUAAUUUUAGUACGUAGGAAGAUAAUUAGGCACUGUAAAUAAGUCAUUAUACUUAAUAAAUUUUCAUUUACGUCCUUAUUUUUUUAUUAUAAUCAAUUGAGUCCUCUAGCACUUAUUUCAAAUCAAUUGUUUUUUUAUUAGAAAAGAUCAUGUAAAUUAACGUCAGAAAUCCUUUUUAUUAAUUGAGUUAAGAUUGUCACAUUUGAAUAUACAAUGUGAAUAUGCAAUGUGAAACCAAUUUUUCCACAUAACGAAGAGGACCCAAAAUAAAUUUGGUCAUACGACAGUAAUGAAAAUGAAAAAAAAUAAAAGUUUUCGUUUUUAUAUAUUUGAGACAUAUAUAUAAAAACACAUAAAUAAUAUAUAAAAACUUAGUAUGUGUUAUAUAUAAUAAAAUACUUUAGUGCUUAAAAUUACACUAAAUUAUUUAUAAAAUUUUAAAUAAAAUUAUUAUUCUUCAAUUACCUACUAUCAAACUCUUACAUUUAUAUUUUGAACUAAAGAAGUUCUUACAACUAACAAUUUAUUAAUUGACGUUAGUCACAACACUAUUUGUCGUUUUAUUCCCAUGUGAUGUUGAUGUAAAAAAUGAAAAAUGUCACAAGAUUAUGUUAAUAUGUCACAUCAUCAUUUAUUAUGAUAUAAUAAUAUAUCACGUUAAUAUUACAUAAUAUAAAAAUGACAAGUGGUGUUGCAACUAACAACAAUUAAUCAAUUAUUAGUUAUAAAAUAAAAAUAUAAGAAUAUGACUUAACGUAACAAAAGAAUAAAAAUUUAUUUAAAUUUUCUUGAGUAAUUCAUGAACUUUUUUAAGUAUCAUGUAUCGAAAAAAUAAGUUUGUUUUUUCAUCUAGAUGAUCUUUUCAUGUUUUCUUUUUUACUUUAAAAAACAAAUAAGAAAAAUAAGUGUUAGCUCUAUAACGUUCAAAUUGAUCUCAGGUUUUGAAUUGACAAAAAAAAUUACCAAAAUUCAUUUAGUCUUGGAAUAUCAAGUCUAAACAUAUCCUAAUACUUUCAAAUAAGUUUGAGAAGAAAACCAAUGAAAAAAGACUUGAAAAAGUAUAUUCUAAUCCAAAUCUAUCGAUAUAUGUUCUUUAUGUAUCGAUACAUCUGAAAAGUAUCAAUAGAUUUUAAAAUCUAUUGAUAUGUGAUCUUCAGAAAAAUUAAAUUUCAAAAAGUCAAACUUAAUCCAUCUAUACAUUUUCUAAUGUAUCGAUAGAAAUAUAAUAGAAUAAUUACUAUCUCAAAAGCAUCGAUAUAUUUAUUAAAUAUAUAGAUAGAUUUUCAACAGAAUGCUUGUUGCUUCAAAAGUAUCAAUACAUUUUCAACGAAAUAACCAAAACCUUACAUGAAAGUUCAAAAGUAUUGAUACAUGACAAAAUGCAUUGAUAUAUCAUAGUGGGAAUUCAAAAAUAAAAGAAGCAAUUAACAUAACCAUCAACAACAUUUAUUAAAAUUAAGGGUGUUACAAUAAAGGUCCAGUUAACAGAUGUUUAUAAUUUAAUAAACACAUAACGUCAAUAAUUAAGUAUGAUUAAGACUUAAAAAGACAUUAGUUAAGAUGAUAGUUAUAUAUACCUAAUAUAAAAGACAAUGUAAUUAUCUGUCAAUAUAGAGCAGAAUGUUAGGUAUAUAAACCACCAAACCGUCAUGUUAGGUACUUUUAAGUACGGAUUCACCUUUAUUGUAUCAUUUAAUAAACUACUUAUUUCGUCAUUAAAGGAUUCAACAUUUUUUAUUUUAAAUUAUUUAAUUUUUAAAGCAUAACAUUUUAGUUACCAACAUAAAUAAUGCAUUCUUGAUCAUCCAACCAUUAAAUAUUAACAGGUCUCCAAAUUUGUAUUCCAUGUUAUUGUUUUGCAUCAGGUGAUCAACUUUGUCAUCAUUCUUGUAGAAGUUAAAUUAACCCUUAAUUAAAUAUUUAUAAAAGUUAAAUUAUUUAAAAAAAUUCAAAUAAAUAUUUAUUUUUUAUUACGUUCAUAUCAAAUAAGCUCUUAUGAUUAAUAAUUGAUUAAUUAUCAUUAAUUAAAAUGUCACUUAUCAUUUUCUCUCCACAUAGCAUUGAUGUAAAUGAUGAAAGAUGUGACAUGAUCAUAUUAUCAUGCCAAAUUAGCAUGUCACGUCAUCAUUAAUUAUGAUAUAUUAAUAUACACGUUAAUAGUAUACAACAUACAAUGACAACUGAUAUUUUAAUUAAGUCAAUUAUUAAUUAUAAAAACUUAUUUGACGAAAAAAUAAAAAUAUAAGAACGUAUUUAACUCAAAAUAAAAAUACAAGACUUGAUUAAAUAUAAUAAAAAUAUAUAACUUAUUUAAAUUAUCUUAAAGUAGUUUAGAGUUUUUUUAAAUAUUAUGUCAUCCACUACAAAAAAAAACAGGUUUUUUCUGAUGGAAAAAAUUUUGUUAAAAUUUUUCGACGGAUUUCCGACGAAAAUUUUUCAACGGAAUUUUUUCGUUGGAAAUCUAUAGGUAAAUUUUUUUUUGGGGGGAAAAAAUUUCAACCACCAUUUUUUUCAACGAAAUUUCCAACGGAUUUUUCGUUGGAAUUUUCCAACGAAAAAUUUUCCGUUGGAAAUCCAUUAGAAAGUUAAAUGAUUCAAAAAAUUUAAAGACCGGUAAAGUUUUCAACAAAAAUUUUCAUUGGAAAAGGUUAUUACCAACGAAAAUUUUCUAAUGAAAUAUUCCGUUGAAAAAUUCUAUUGGUAAUAGUAUUAUUUUAUUUAAUUUUUUAAAAAUAUUUUAUACUUUUUAUAAAUUUUAUUAAUCUUUUAUAAAAAAAUAGAUAUUAGUAAAAGCAAAUACAUACAUAUUGAAGUUUAUAAUAUUUAAAAGUUUAAGUAUGUUUUCUUUUGAUUAAUUUUGUACAUUUUUUUAAAACUUUAUUGAAUCAUACAUUAAAAUUUAAUUUUGUAACAUUAAAAAAAUUAUAAAAAAAAUAAAUUUGUUAAUUUUAUGAAACUACAUGAUAAGAUAUNNNNNNNNNNNNNNNNNNNNNNNNNNNNNNNNNNNNNNNNNNNNNNNNNNNNNNNNNNNNNNNNNNNNNNNNNNNNNNNNNNNNNNNNNNNNNNNNNNNNNNNNNNNNNNNNNNNNNNNNNNNNNNNNNNNNNNNNNNNNNNNNNNNNNNNNNNNNNNNNNNNNNNNNNNNNNNNNNNNNNNNNNNNNNNNNNNNNNNNNNNNNNNNNNNNNNNNNNNNNNNNNNNNNNNNNNNNNNNNNNNNNNNNNNNNNNNNNNNNNNNNNNNNNNNNNNNNNNNNNNNNNNNNNNNNNNNNNNNNNNNNNNNNNNNNNNNNNNNNNNNNNNNNNNNNNNNNNNNNNNNNNNNNNNNNNNNNNNNNNNNNNNNNNNNNNNNNUAUAUAUAUUAAUAUGUUUUAUAUGUAAGCUUAUGGUAAAUUUUAUUUAUAUGAUUACAGUUAUUAAUUUUAUUAGUUAUUAUCAUACUUUUUAUAAAAUCAUAUUGAUAAUUAAUUAUACAAAUUUUGUAAUAUAUAUCAAAGUAUUACAUAUAAUUUGUGUCAUUAAUAUAUAUAUAUAUAUAUAAUAAAUUUAAUAAUAUAACAUUAUGUUUUAUAUUGAGUAAUAUAAAAAAAUUAUUUAUUAAUAAAAUUUAAAAUAUUUAAAUUUGUGUUAGUAUAAAGACUUGAACUUGUGUUCAAAUGAAAAAUGAAUUAGACUUUAACUAAGUCUACCACCCACCCAAACUAAUUUAAAAACUCCUCAACUUAACAUUAUUAAAAAUGACUCGCAAAUUACAAGUGACAUAAACAGCAUGUUUGUUAAUUUUGCGAGCCUAUAUAAGCUCUUCUUUGGUGCAUAAGAUUAUUUAUUAUAUUUACGAGUAUCUAAAUAUAUUUACAAUAUAAAUAUUUCUUUUUUUUUCUUUUUUUUUUGUUUAUUUUGAUUUUCUAAUACUAAAAUGAACUUAUAUAUUUAAAUAUAUAACCUUUCCCUGGAUUAAAAUGAGACUAAAAAUAUAUAUUUUAUUUAAGUGAAAUGGUUAAGACCCAAAACUAAUUAAAAUGAGCUCAAAUUAAGGAGAAAGGUUAUGCCUUUUUUAGCUAGACCCAAAAAAAAAAAAAAAGAAGAUAUCUUUUUUGUCUAUUUUGUCAAAACUAAUACAUCAUGAAUAUGAUUGCAAGUUGACGACAGAACAAGUAACUCUCAUAAUAUAUAUGUCUCGUUUCAUAAGAUGAAAGGCAUCAUGCUAUUUAUCAGGAUUUGGAAAUUUUAAUUAAAGUGCAGGCGAACAGUAUUUAUUUUUGUUAUAAAUACAUGGCUGUUAUACAAGGCGGUAAAAAAUAGAAAAAAAAAAUCAAGCUCACGCAACAAUAUACAUUAGAAUCAAUAAUGGGUGGUUUACUAUGGCAACAACAUUUGUUUUCCCCUGAUGAUAAUAUAGAAAAAGUAAUUGAGGUUGUUUGCAUCAAAGUAGAUAUUUGUUAGAAAGGGCAUUGGUUACUACCACUAGAAUCAAAUUCUUUAACUUUGAUGACAAUUACAAAGUUAGGAGAAGAAAACUCCAGAGUUAUACGCUGGCAUUGAUAUUUGAAGGUGCCAUUAGACCCAACACCAGAGCUAGGUACCAACUACAAUGCUGAUUUGCUUGGAAGAUAAUAGCUUACCACGUAAGGGUCAUGGAAUCCUUUCCAUAUCUUCACAUUUUGUGCCAUUAUUUUUACAAGUAUAAGAUCAGAUGGGAUAGAAUAUAUUGGGGUAUGUACGAUGCAUGCAUGAAUUCCUUUAGAUAUCUAGGUAUGGGGCCGAGAUACUGUUACUGAGGAGAAGCAAUGGUCAAUUUUCUUCGAACUCUUGCCUCGCCAUUUUCAGACUUGAGAUUUGCAUUUUGCUCCCCUCGAGUCUGCUUAUAUAUCUACACUUGAUAAUUUUGGAUAAAACAUGAUGACACGACACAAAAAGAAAUAAAAUUAAAUAGAUUUGAGUUUAAUUUUAUCGUGUUUUGUGUUUUAAUCGUGUCAAAUAAAAUUAACACGUUUAAUAUAUUUAAUUAAUCAUGUUAAUUGUAUUUAAAAGUAUAUAAGUGGCAUGUUUAAUUUUAAUGAUGGAUUUUUAUUAAUAUGAUGAUUAAUUUUAUGCAUGUUAUUUAUGUUAAAUUUUUUUAUAUUUGAUAUUGUUAUUAUUUUGCUAUAAUUAUUUUUAUAAUUAUUAAUUUUAAAUUUGAAUAAUAAAAUUAUAUUUAAUUGUAAAUAUUUUAAGUUAAUCUUGUUAAAUGUGUUGGAAAAGAAUUAUGUUAAUCAUUUAAUUUUGUUGUGCUGUAUAAAAAUUCUUAAUAUGUUUAAUAAAUGUUCUGAUUGUGCCGUAUUUUGUUACACGAUUAUUAAAUAUAUUCAUAUACGUGUUUUAGAUACUGAUAUAAAUAAUUAUUCGUAUCGUGUUCAUAUUUAACUUUAUUAUAUUUCGUACCAACACAAUUAAGACAAAAAAAAAUAAUUGCCAUGUCUCUCUCUCUCUCUCUAUAUAUAUAUAUAUAUAUAUGUUUCCAAAACGUUUAAUUCUACUAAUCCAUCUUUUGGUUGGGUAACCUGGGCUUUCACAAACAAGUAUAUCUAUAAAAUUAGGGUUGACUGUUUCUACAAAUUACCUACCAUGUUAGUUAUUGUGCAAUAUAAUAAUGUCUCAUAUAUUUAGUAUGCAACCUUAGCUUCACCUUUUCUAAGCACCUGAUGCAAUUCUUCCUCUUUUAGGUUUGUAUGAAGAUUCUAAAGGCGGGCAAAACUUAGAUGCAAUAUUUUGUAUGUGAAGUUUAUCAUAAUCUCGAUCGAAAAUAAAACUAAAACCCGAAAAAUAUUUGGAAUUUUAAUAGAUUUAUUUCUUGUACGCAUCAUGAGCUAGAAAUAGUAUGCAUAUAUAAUUUAUUGUAUUGUAUUUAUUAUAAAUCCAAUUCGAGUAAUGUUAAGACAUACAAAUGGAUCUAUUCUUUGUGGGGUGACCAGCUUAUUCUGUAGCUCUGUUUUUCAUUGAAUGAGAAGACACUUGCAGGGAGAAGAAAAUUCAUAGUAGUUCCUUUAUAACAUCUUAAAGCUGCACUUCUCUGUCAAAAAUCCAACUGAAUGGAAUACUUGGUGCUUGCCUGGCCCUUCCUUGAGCUCUCUCCUCCAGCCUUCUAAUUCUUGGAGGAAGUCCACACACAUAGUCUUGAGCUUGACGCCCAUCCGCUGAAAGUCCAGUUAGUUCCUUCACCUUCCAUCUCUCCACUAGGAACUCCAGAAUAUCAGCAUAGUCCUUGGCAGUGUAAACCCCAAUUCUUUGUGCAACAGCUGAGAAGUGGUCGAAAAGGUUGUCAUCUCGGCCAUCAUACAUCAAGUGGCCUGGCAUGGAGAUUUUCUUCCUCAUCAUGUCAGCGAAGGCCAGCAAAGUACCGUCAGGAUCAAUCUCAAAGAGCUUUUCGACAACUUUAGUAUAGGCUGUCCCGUGGCGCUUUUCAUCUGAGGCAAUGCUACCACAUAUUUGAGCCAAGUUAAUGUCCCCGUGUUUCUUAGCAAGCCUGGCUGAAUUCCCAUGGGAAAUAAAGGUUGCCCUUUCUUGGAAUGAUGUGUAGAUGAGUCCCAGAUAUGGGUUUUUCUCUGUGCCGGGAUCCUGUAAAUGGACAGAAGAAGAGAAUUUAAAAAGAUUGAUCAAGAAGGGAAAGAAAGCUCUGUUUCAACACUGGACCGACUGUAACACACGAGGAAUAACCUAAUUAGGGGCACUUUCUACACAAAUUAAUUAGUGAGAUUUAACAAGUGAUGUGGAGCAAUGCUAAUAUCCAUGCACUUUCACAAGGUGAAACUGCAGAUUAGAAAAUUAAAAGAAAUAUAAAGGCAUGUGUAGUGUGCAUGGGUUUUCUCAGCCCCUUCACACUCAAAAGAAAACACCACCAAAAGACUAAAGAAAAAAAUAACUUUAUACAUUGUGUCCUGCGGACCCCAAUAUGCAGUCCUUCAAAGAACUGCAAAGGAUUCAAAAAACUUGUGCAUGUCAAGUGCAUCUGAGUAAAGCAUCUUACCAUUCCUGAUCCAAUCAAAUACUGGAUUGUCUUCUCAAUUUGCCUCAUGUCUACUCUUCCAGACAAGUGGAGAUACUUAUUAAGUAGAUCACCAUGCCUGUUUUCUUCAGCUGUCCAUGCCCUCGUCCAAAUUGCCCAAGGGGUAAGGCUACCACCUGUUUCAUCACGAAUUUCCUCUGCGCUAUUAAGCAUUUGUUGGUAAGUUGGAAGGGCUUCCUCUGUGAUCAUAUCACCAAUCAAAACAACGAAGUAAUCGUCUGGAAUCUCCUUUGCCCUUUCCCUUAGUUCUUUGACUUGCUCACCAAAUCCAUCAGAGGUAGGAUCUGGAAGAAAAUCCUGUGGUUGCCAACAUUUCUCAACUGGUUUGAGGUAAAUUAGAAAGUUCUUCUCAGCCCAGUCCUCCAAAGAUUUAAAGAUCUCAAUCUUUUGCUGUGGCAUGGAGUGGGUGACUUGAGCGUGCACCUCCCGAGGAGGCACGAAAUGCCUUUUGAGAGUCUCGUCCUCCCUGCAUUAAGUAAACGAAUAUGGGAUUACAUUCUCACGGUUCAGAUCUGUCCGUAAGGACUAAAAGGCAACAAUAAAUACCAUAAGCACAAAUCCUAUCUAACAAAUUUGUGUUACUUAAUUCAUGUUCCAGAAUAUCCAGUACAUGGGAUAUGCAAUAACAGUGUAAUGAAACAGCUUCCUAUAUAUGUUGGCCCAAAAAAUAAAAAAUAGCUUUAUACAGUUUAAAUUCUGAAGUUUAGUUUAAAUCCAGUAGAUGGGAAAAGGCUUAGCUUGUCGUUGUGGUUGUCUGCAUCUCUGAACAUUACAUCUGUAGCUACCAACUAUUAAAAAUUCCUUCAACUAUAUUGCAAAACUAGUUGCAUGAAAUUACUUAAAAGAUGAAGGGGGAGAACUACGUUAACCAUCAGGCAGUAUGUCUAGAGAAUCUGCUCUACGUCCAUCAACUUGAAUAUUCUUUUCAAGACAUAGAUUCUAUUCAACCAUAUUGAAACAGAGUAGCAUGUAACAAAUGGGAAGACAAUAGGGCAAAGUUACAGUAAAGCGUCAGCUACCUUUAUGUACUUUGAUCAGAAAGCUGACCCGACAACAGAAAUAUCCUUUUGUGUACAGCAUUCACAGGAUUUGGAAUUAAAUUAAACAAAGUAAUAAAAACAUCACAACAUAUAUAUAGCAGCACAAUGACAGAGCUACUAGACAACGCAGCAUACCAAAAAUACAACAGAACACUAAACUGAAACAGAAUGUUGCAAACCAUGCUGACCCAGAAUUUGAUUCUGCAAAGUUGCCUUAAGCUGAGCAUUGCAAAGUCUAAGAUGACUAAUAGUUUUAUUCCCCUUUGAUUAAAUGGUUAGGUCUAGUUUCAUAUACAGGUUAGAGAUUUGAUCCAAUGUAUCAAUCAAUCUCAACCCUCCUCAGUCUGUUGAAAACACUAGCCCCUUAUGCUAGUCUACUCUGCUUGCCGUCCUGAAUACUAACUUAGUAACUCUACUUUCUGCAUUUGCUCGGUUUCUGUAAAGAGUCCACCUGGUUUGAUUAAAAAUUACUUGAACAGUGUUGUUUAGGUCUAAACAAUCUUGGUCUCAAAGGUUUUCACAAAAUGCAUAACUUCAACAUUUCAAAGAUUAUUCAAAAACUCUGCAUAACAAACCAAAUUAAUGUACAAUAAUUUAUAACAAUAGUAGAGAGCAUAAUGUAUAACUAAGUCAUUCCCCUUAUUCUUAGGUCUCCCUUUUUACCUAUUUUGGUUUAUUUUUUAAUUAAGGAAUAGCCAUGGAAUAACUAACCCCAACCCCUUUGGUAUUUUAACUAUUCCAAGCUUCAUGAAAUAAAACUCAAAUAGACAUAGUUAUGAACAAAAGAAAAAAACCAUGCUUACUAUGUGAAAUUACUAACCCUAUCGUAUAAAAUAUUAUAUUAAUAUUUUAAUAAUAAAUUAUUAAAUUAAUAUUAUUUUUAAUGAAAUUUUAAUAAAAAGGAAUUAAAAGAGAAAAAAAGAUAAAAAAUGAAAUAAGAGGAAAAUAAAAAGAAAUUAAAUAAAAAUCAUAUCAAUAUUUUAUUAAUAAAAUAUUAACAUUUUAAUAAUAAAUUACUAAAUCAAAUAUAUUUUUAACAUUGUUCUAAAAAAUUGAAAGAGAAAAAAGGAAAAUGAUAGAUAGAAAAGAAAAAGAAAUUAACAUAAAAUAUCAUAUUGAUAUUUUAACAAUAAAUUAUUAAAAAUAAAUUAAAAGAGAAAAAAAUGAAAAAUGAAAAUAGAGAAAAAUAAAAAAUUAUUAAUAUUUUAAUAAAUAAGAAAUUAAAAGUGAAAAACUGAAAAAAUCAAAAUAGAGAAAAAAUAAAUAUUAAUAUUUAAAAAGUCAAUUAUUAAUAUUUUAACAAUAACAUAUUAAAUUAUUAUUUAACAAUUACAUUGCCAAAAAUUAAUAAGUUUUAAAUAUCUUAAUAUUUUUAUUAAAUUAUAAUAAAAAAUAUUUUUAUCAUUUUAUUACUUAUUCCUUUAUUAUUUCAAAACUAUUUUUACCAUGAUUUAACAUGAAAAUAAUGAAUUUAAAAAAAGAAAAGAAAAGAAGAAGCACUUACUUGGAGGUGGAAGGAAGUCAAGUUCUCUUUGUGAAGUUGCUUUGGGUUUAGGCACCUUCACUUUUACAUGCAGAAAUCUUAUACUUAAUGUAAUACCUUUUUUGAACAAAUUUGAUGAGUAGUGUCUUCAAUGAAAAAUAAAAACAAUUUUUAAAAGAAUGUUUAGAUUAAUCAUAACUAAUGCAUAUAAUUAAAUACUAACUGUUAACUGAAUUAUUCUUUUAAAUAUAGUCAGUUUCUAGAACUUGAGAUUUCACUAUUUUUUUGUUUUACAUUUAAAAUUUAUUAAGAAUUUGUAUACACACACAAAAAAAUAGUCAUGUAUCGUACCAUAAAUUUCAUUUAUUUUUUUCUUUCAAAAUGCAAAAAUAGAAAGUUGGCUCACCUAUUUAAAACAACUUAUCAAAUUAAUAGUUCUAGUUUUGUUAGUGGUGACACAUCAAAUCCUAAGCUGUCAACUUUUAUGAAAUCAAUUUAAACACAUGCACAUGUCGUCAAGGAUUCGAGAUUUUGUAAUUAUAACAUGUGAGCAUUUAAGUUUAAAGCUAAGUAUAGGUACUUAAUCUUUUAUUCAAAAAUCAAAAAAGCUUUUAUAAUUAUAUGCUAAAAAAAUAAUUUGUUAAGUAUAAUAUUACUUCAAGAAAAAUAUUGUGAUACCUUGAGGCCCUUUUAUCAUUUGAAAAAGAUAACAGUGUUAAUUCAAUUAGAAAAAAAAAAUUAUCAUCCAUGACGUUUUAUUAAAAAUAAAAUUACUUUAAUUAGGAUGAAAAACAAUCUUUAUCUCCCUUAUUUAUAAAUCCCCUAAUUAUUUCUUUUUUUGGUGCAUUGAAUGACAUAUUGAUUUGUUUGAGUGUUGGUACAUGGCCUUGCCUAUGAGAGGCUGAGAGAGGAAGGGGGAGGGCGGACAGAGAAGAAGGGAGCAGUGGAGCACAACUGAAAUAUUCACUUGCUGCAGGGCCGUUGUUUAUAUGUAAUUCGAGGAACAAAAUUUGAAGAAUUUUUCCUGUCUGAUGCGAAUUAAAAACAAAAACUAGAGGAAAGAAUCUACCAAGAAGGGAGAAAAACUCAAGAAAAGAAAUCAAGAUCUAUGAUUUAACAAGAAAAUAACGAAUUAAAAGAAGAAGAAGAAGCACUUACUUGGAGGUGGAAGGAAGAGCAGAGGCCAUGAAAAACUUGGGAGUUGUGAAGGUGGUCAUUGCUGGAAGACCAAAACAAGGGAGGUUCUUAUACAGACAAGUCAUGGGAUUACAUCUCAGACCCAUUGUUUGUAUCUUUUGCUUAUUUUGGGGUUCAAGACUUCCUUUGCUCUUUCUCUUUGUCAAGUUGUUUUUGAGCUUCGGCACCUUCACCUUUAUAGGCAGAGAUCUAUUUCGGGGGAAUUACAAAAUGGGCAAUGAAUUGAGAAUAUUUUGAGUUUGCUCCCAUACCCCCAAAAAUAUUUAGGGAUGAGGAAUUGAAAACACACAAUCAGUGUCGAUUCACUCUACCUUCAAUUCAUCUUUUCUAUUUUUCUUUCUCUAGAUUUACGAUUUGCUGGCAUAACGUACAAUCAAAAUUAUAAUUAAUUAAACUGUAACAUAAAAUAUAAUAUAAAUAGCUUAUAUAAGAGUAAAAUUAAAGCAUGCGUUUUGUUAUAUAUAAAAAUUACAUUUUUAUAUAUAUUUGUUUUCAAAAAUAUUAUUUCUUUGUUGAAGUAAUGAUUACUCGGUGAUUAGGAUCAUAGUUAUUGAAAAGCUUUUUUGAGACUCAGAAUUUUCAUGCACAUAAAUCUUGUACAAGUCAAUGAGCAAUAUUAUUAACCUUCUCUUAUUGUAACUUGUACGGCAUACAGCCUCUUUAAUUUUCUUUCCCACAUGUAAAAUAUAUUAGGAAUUUGUAUACAUAAUGAAAUAAUCCACAAUGCAAGCUAGAAGAUGAAACCGUGACACAUGUACUACGGGAUUGCAUGGUGGCGACAUCUUCACCGGUAAGAAUUAUUCCCCAACAAGAACACAACGUGUUCUUUUCACUACCAUUAUGAGAAUGGCUGCUAUGGAAUCUCCAAAACCAUCAGCUGCUACUCUUUGAGACUCCAUGGUCGGUUGUAUUCGGCUUGAUUUGUUGGUAUUUGUGGAAGUGGCGCAACAGCGCGGUGUUUGAUGCUACCUCUAUUCCAACUGCGAAUCGCCUAAGUUUGGUUAGAAGCUUGUCAACUGCUACAAAAACAGCCCUUGUAGAAUUUGAUGGGAUUUAGGUUAAUAAAGGAAGGAAAGAAGAAGUUUUGAUUGGAUGAAGGGCUCCACAGGUUGGCUGGGUAAGUUUAAAUACUGAUGGAGAGUACAAGAAAUCAAUAGAUGAAGCUUCUACAGGGGGUAUCUCGCAACUCUGAAGGAUCUUGGCAAGCUGGCUAUGUGGCAAAGCUAGGCAAAUGUUCAGCGUAUAGAGCUGAAUUGCGGGGAGUGCUUUAUGGACUUAGACUGGCUUGGGAUUCAGGGUUCAAGAAAGUGAUGGUUCAAGUUGACAACAAGAUGGUAGUUUAGGCGAUUUCGAUGGACAAGUUACUAUCAUGUUCGAAUACGGAUUUAAUACAUGCAAUUAAAGAUAUCUUGCAAAAGGAGUGGGAGGUCCAUCUUUUAUAUAUUUACUGUAAAGGUAAUCAGGGCCGGCCCUUGGGUGAAGCCACCCAAACAAGGACUUUAGGCUCUCAAUUUGGAAAGAUCUCAAUUUUAAAGAAGAUUUAUAAUUUUAUAAUAAUUAUAAUAUAAUUAAUUAUAUUAAAAAAAUAAAAAUAAAAAAUAUUCAUCAAAUUAUUUGUUUUUUUACUUUUUUAAUUAUGUGUCUAAUAAAUCUCAAUUUUUUAUUACUUCUUUAUUUCUAAAAUACUAUUAAUUCUCAACUAUAUUCUCUUAUUUUUAACAAACUAACAGUUACAUGUAUUUAAUCAUUUCCAACAGCUAUUUUUUUCUCACUUAUUUUUCUUAUUUCCAAUCAAUAAUAUCUACUUUUAAAAUUUUCCUUUCUUAUUUGCUCUUUCUUCCUUUAACUUCAAUUUUUUUCUAAAAAAUACACAAAAAGUCUGUUCUUUUAUUCUCUUCAUAAAGUUGUGAGCUUCAUUUGUGAUUUGCAAUAAGCAUUCAACAAUUAGGUACUAUUGUUCUAAUAUUUACAGAUUUUUUUACUUUAAUUUAGAUUUAUAUUAUAUUGUUAUAUUAUUUUUAUUUUAUGUGAUAGUUGAUUUAUUUGAAUUAAAAAUUUUGAUUGUUGAUUUUAUAUUAGCCAUUUAAAAAAUAUAAGAUAAUUAUAAUAGUUAAAUAUUUUUAAAAUAAUGUUAACAAUUUCAGUAAGUGUUGUUUCAGAAGAAAGAAGUUUUUCAAAACUAAAAUUAAUGAAAUCUUAUUUAAGAUCAACAGUGUCUCAAGAAAGAUUAAAUGGAUUGACUAUAUUAUCAAUUGAAAAAGAAAUAUUAGAAGAACUUGAUUAUAAAAGUUUAAUUAAAAAUUUUACAUCUCAAAAAGCUAGAAGAAUAAAAUUUUAAUAAUUUUUUUAAUUUUAAUAAAAAAAGCCUCAUUUGAAUAUUUCGCUUUAGGCUUUUGGACUUAUUGGGCAUCCCCUGAAGGUAAUAUGAUAGCCGAUUAUAUGGCUAACUAUGGUUUUGAUUUAAUCAAGACUUAUGGCUUUUUUGAACAUCCUCCAAUUGGAGCUAAAAAAUUGUUAAUGAAUGACAUGUUGGUAGUCUAUUUUCCAAGAAUGAUUCAAGUAUAAUAAAAUGAGUUUUUUGUUUAAAAAAAAUUAUCAUCUAUCAUAUCAUAAAUUUCGUUUUAUUAUUUGUUUAAAAAAUUUAAAUUUAUAGUUAUAGUAUUGGUUCGUGGUUACACAUCAAUUCGUAAGUUUCAAAACCUCUUUAUGAAAUCAAUCUAAACAUAUACACAUGUUGUGUAGAAUUUGAGAUUUUAUAAUUAUGAUGUUUUCGAGCAUUUAAGUUUAAUGAUAAGUAUAUGUACUUAAUUUUUUGUUUAAAAAGCUAAUAUUAGAUCUCUACUUUUUUUAACAAAAAAAAUUAUAAUUAUAUGUUAAAAAUAAUUUAUUGAUUUACUUUAACUACUAAAAUAUCCUCAUUUUGUUUUUUUUUUCUUAUUUUUUCAUUUCUUUUUCUUAAUGUAAACAUCCAUGAUUAAAUUCCUUGAGGUAAAAAUAGUUGAGAAAUUUAUAUAUAUAUAUAUAUAGUUGAGUAAUUAAUAUAUAUAUACACUAACCAUCCUCAACACCACCAAAUUGAAAGAGACAAACACAAGAACACUCUAAACCUUAAUUAACAUAUGAUAUAUUCCAAUAAGUAUAAGAUUAUAAAUAGUUAAGGAAAUUUAAUAAGGGAUCCGAUUAACGGAUGCUUCUAAGUAGCUUUUAAAGUUAGUUAAAUUCUAGGAGCAUUUUAAAAAAUAACCCUUAAAGAUAAAAUGUUUUUAAAAAUAACUUUUUUAUAAUUUUAACUAUAUUUAGCCAAGUUGGACAAAAUUACCCUUAAUGAAAUUACACGUUAUGUACAAAAAUAUGUGACAAGCGAUGGUUAGGUUGUUACACGCCAUGUACAAAAACAUGUGACAAGCCAUGGUUAGGUUGUUACACGUCAUGUACAUUAACAUGUGACAAGCCAUGAUUAAGUUGUUAUACGCAAUGUACAAAAACAUGUGAUAAGCUAUGGUUAGGUUAUUAUACCCCAUGUGCAAAAACAUAUGACAAGUCAUGGUUAGGUUAUUACACGCAAUGUUGAAAAAAAAUAUUAUUGUUACACGAUAUGGUUAGGUUGUUACACGCCAUGUUGAAAAAAAAUACUAUUGUUACACGUCAUGUAUAAAAACAUGUUAUACACCAUGGUUAAAAAAGGUUAUUACACGUCAUAUUGAAAAAAUAUUGUUGUUACACGGCAUAUUCAAAAACAUUUUGUUACACUUUAAUACCUAAAAUGUUAUUGUUACUUACGAACCAAAAUUUCAAAUCCUCUCAACUCUUUUCAUUUUUUUUAUUUUUUUGACGAUUUGGAAUCGAUUAAAGUGUUUCUAACAUGUUUUCAUAAAUAAAAAUAUAAAUUUUUUAAUCUAAAAUACCUACUUUGACUAAAAAUAAAAAAAAAUUCCUUUGAAAACCUAAGUUUAUAAAUUUCAAAUUUUUGAGUUUAUUGGUAUGUUUAGGUCCUGAAUUGAUUCAAUUAAAAGAUAUUUUAUAUAUCUGUGAUUAUUUCUAUUGUUUUAGUUUUAUUCAAAAUACCUAAAAAUCAAAUUUUCCAAAUAGCCAUCCAUCCAAGCACGUUAAAACCAUUGCUUGGUGUCUUGAAAGCGUAAGAAAAAGAAAUCUGAAAACGUAAGAGAGAGAAAUCAGAAGCAUAGCAAACGAAUGCCGAAGAGAGAAAUUGAUAAAAUUCGAAAGAGUGAGAUGGUGGGAGAGAGAAAUCUGAAGUACAAAUUGAGAGAAAUUGUGAUGAAUGAUUUAAUUUAUUUGAAAAAGUUUAAAAGGUAUUUUUGUCAAGUCAUGGUUGAAUAUGGCUAAAAACAGUUAAAUUUAUUUUGAUAGUUAUUUUUAAAAUGUCUUUAUAAAAAAAGGUUAUUCCUCACAAUUUCCUCUAAAUUCAUAUUAAAAAAAAUUUUCAUUUAUUACAUUGUUCUCAUCAAAUUUAAAAACAAAUAAUACGUUAAUUACAAAAUUUUUUUAUACAUUAUUAUUUUAACAAAAAAAAAGAAACAACAUGGAAUCUCCACAUGACAGUUACAUAAAUUAGACACUUAAAUAGGGUACAUGAACCUUUUCUCUAAAAAACAAUUAAUAGCACUCGUGAAUUUCAAUGAACCAUGUACUUAAAACUCCGUCUAAUGAUAAAUUUUUUUGUUAUUUAUUUUUUUACUAUUUUCCUUGUAUUUUUUUUAUAAUAAAGAAAUAUAAAAUACUACUCUCUUUGUUUCAUUUUGUUUAUUUUUUAUUGACUUUUUUUAUUAAAUGAAUUCAAUUUUGAUUUUUUAAAACAUUAUACAAAAUUAAAAUCUCAAAAAAUAUGUUUUGAAAAGUUUGGAAUUCAAGAUUUACAAACUUUAUUUUUAAAAAUCUUAUAAUUUUAUAAAAAAUAAUUAUCAAAAUUAAAUUUAUUUAAUAAAAAUAAAUAAAUAAACAAAAUGAGACAAAAAGAGUAAUAUCUACAGGAGAAAUUAACCUUAUCUCAAUAACUUUUAAAUUAAUAUUAUUACACUUAAAUGGAAAAUAACUUUAUAAAAGACCUUUAGACGACGUGACCAUUUAAAAGAGAGAGCUCUUGAAAUAAGCCAAGUUAGUUGCGCAAAAACAAAUAAUUACACAUUGGCCCUUUAGUAUUAAGAAAAUAUGUAAUAUGCUACCUGAAUUUUAAUUUCCUCAAUUGGGUUAGUCUAAUUAAUAAUAUCGUUAACACAAUCCACCUAUAUGGCAUUGAGCCAAUAGGAUCGCACCAUGUGUAUGCCAUGCGUGAAAUAUAAAUUAUUCAUUAUAUGUUUGAAUUUCUACUGCGGAGGAUCAUAAAAUUUGAGUUUUUUUCUUUUAAAAAAAUUAUGACAUGCUUGAAGUCUUGGUUUGACCCACUUUCAUUAACUUUAGAAUAAAUUAAUUAUUUAGUCAUUUAAAUUUUUAAAUUUUUUAUUUUUCGUUAUUUAGUUUUGGAAAUAAUNUUCUUUUAAAAAAUUAUGACAUGCUUGAAGUCUUGGUUUGACCCACUUUCAUUAACUUUAGAAUAAAUUAAUUAUUUAGUCAUUUAAAUUUUUAAAUUUUUUAUUUUUCGUUAUUUAGUUUUGGAAAUAAUGUAUUGUUCAUUGAUGUUAUAUAAAAUGGUGCAUUCUUAAUCAUCCAACUUUGAAACAAGAUUGACGAAUCUCAAUUUUGUAUUCACGUCAUAAUUUUUAUGUUACAAAAUGAUAAUUUAAAGUAAUGACAUGAACUUGACCACUUCACAUAAAUAUGAUGAAAUGAAAUGUCGAACAAAAACAAAAACACGUUAAUAGUGUGUAAGAGUUUGAGGACAAAAGAUGUAGUGUUUAUAUAACAUUAAUGAUUAAAAUAAAAAUAUUUUAAAAACUUAGAUGACUAAAUUAAUAAUUUUGUUAGACUUAUUAUUUCAAUUUUAUUCUAAAUUUUGAAAUGACAAAUAAGUGAACAAAAUUAUUUUUCAAAUGUUAAAAUAAGUUCAAAAAGUCUACAACUUCUAAUAAUGAAAAGGAACGUAAUUGCAAAGGUAAAGUCAUUAUAAUCAGUUAACAGGAUGUCAUUCCAUUAGCUCACGGAGGAAAUGUUAUUUUCGCUCAAUCGAGGAAAAGUUCAAUUUUUUUCCUGAAUUAUUUCUGACUUCUUUUUCUUUCUUCUUCCUUUUUCUUUCUUCUUCUCUUACCUUUCUUUAAGUCAACGUUUGCCAGAAAAGAUGGGUGCAAGGAGGACGAUGAGAAAAAAAAAAAUAAAAGGUAACAUCUUGAGUGAUUAUAUCUUAACCAAGUUAGAAGGUAAUUUGAGUAGGUUAAAUAAAAGAUAGAGUGGUUGUAUGUGAUCCAUAAAAGGUAUUGCAUUAUAAGAUUAUGUUUGUACUAAAUUUCAUUUCAAUAGUGGAUUUUAAAAUUCGUUAGUGAAUCAAAAGGAAAGGACAAAGGUAGUAAUUUUAUUUUAUAGAAUUAUUUUAAUCUAAUUUGUUCUUAAAUGUUGCUAGGUUCUUAAUUUUUAAUUAAAAUUUAGUUAUUUUUAAUUGUUUUUACAAUUAGUUUAUUUUUAUUAAGUUAUUUUAAUUUUAUGUUUAUUUACUUUAAUUCGACUUUUAUUUAUUAGUUUUUAUGCAUUUGUAGGAUUUAAGGAAAUAAGGCUUAAUUUUGGAAAAUAAGGUGUUUGAAAGACCAAAAUUUUGUUUGCAUAUGCUUCAAUAUUUUGCCCAUAACUUUUACUACAAAAUUCCAAAUGAUACGGAUUCUUGAGCCAUUGGAAAGCUAAGAAAUAGAGCUACAACUUUCAUAUAUCACUUUGCCCAGUUCUACUUCGAAGACAGAGAAAAUUGCAUCGGAAGGUGACUGGACAUAAUGCUGCAGGAAUGGUAAUUUUGAAAAAUGAUAUUUGAUAUUUGAGCCUCACCCAAUUAAAAUCAGUAGGUUAACUUAGGAGAUUUUAAGAGAAGAAAACUCCAGAGUUAUACGCUGGCAUUGAUAUUUGAAGAUGCCAUUAGACCCAACACAGAGCUAGUUACCAACUACAAUGCUGAUUUGCUUGGAAGAUAAUAGCUUACCAAGUAAGGGUCAUGGAAUCCUUUCGACUUCUGCUGCUUUCCUAUAUCUUCACAUUUUGUGCCAUUAUUUUUAUAAUUAUAAGAUUAGAUGGGGUAGAAUAUAUUGGGGUAUGUACGAUGCAUGCAUGAAUUCCUUUAGAUAUCUGGGUAUGGGGCCGAGAUACUGUUACUGAGGGGAAGCAAUGGUCAAUUUUCUUAGAACUCUCGCCUCGCCAUUUUCAGACUUGAGAUUUGCAUUUUGCUCCCCUUGAGUCUGCUUAUAUAUCUACACUUGAUAAUUUUGGAUGAAACACAAUAACAUGAUACGAAAAGAUACAGAAUUAAAUAGAUUUGAGUUUAAUUUUAUCGUGUUUUAUGUCUUAACCGUGUCAAACAAAAUUAAUAUAUUUAAACACACUUAAUUAAUCAUAUGAAUCGUAUUUAAAAGUGUAUAAGUAACACGUUUAAUUUUAAUGAUAGAUUUUAUUAAUAUGAUGAUGAAUUUUAUGUAUGUUAUUUAUAUUAAAUUUUAUUAUAUUUAAUGUUAUUAUUAUUUUGUUAUAAUUAUUUUAAUAAUAUUGAAUUUAAAUUUGAAUAAUAAAAUUAUAUUUAAUAGUAAAUAUAUUAAGUUAAUCCCGUUAAAUGUGUUGGAAAAAAAUUAUGUUAAUCGUUUAAUCGUAUUUAUUAGUCGUAUUGUGUUGUAUAAAAAAUCUUAAUAUGUUUAAUAAAUAUGUUGAUCGUGUCAUGUCUUGUUACACGAUUAGUAAAUAUAUUUGUAUACGUGUUUUAGAUGCUAAUAUAAAUAAUUAUUCGGAUCAUGUUCAUAUUUAAUCUUACCAUAUUUCAUGUUGACGCAAUUAAGAUAUAAAAAUACGAAUUAAUGCCAAGUCUAUAAUAUAUAUAUAUAUAUGUUUUCAAAACGUUUAAUUCUACUAAUCCAUCUUUUGGCUGAGUGAACUGGACUUUCACAAACAAGUAUGUCUAUAAAAUUAGGGUUGACUGUUUCUACAAAUUAAUAUUCUAAUUCUGGUAUUAAAGUCUUGCCUACCAUGUUAGUUAUUGUGCAAUAUAAUAAUGUCUCAUAUAUUUACUAUGCAAUCUUAGCUUCACCUUUUCUAAGCACUUGAUGCAAUUCUUCCUCUUUUAGGCUUGUAUGAAGAUUCUAAAGGCGGGCAAAAUUUAGAUGCAAUAUCUUGUAUGUGAAGUUUAUCAUAAUCUCGAUCGAAAAUAAAACUAAAACCCGAAAAAUAUUUGCAAUUUUAAUAGAUUUAUUUCUUGUACGCAUCAUGAGCUAGAAAUAGUACGCAUAUAUAAUUUAUUGUAUUGUAUUUAUUAUAAAUCCCAUUCGAGUAAUGUUAAGACAUACAAAUGGAUCUAUUCUUUGUGGGUUGACCAGUUCAUUCUAUUGCUCUGUUUUUCAUUGAAUGAGAAGACACUUGCAGGGAGAGGAAAAUUCAUAGUAGUUCCUUUAUAACAUCUUAAACUUCUCUGUCAAAAAUCCAACUGAAUGGAAUCCUUGGUGCGUGCUUGGCCCUUCCUUGAGCUCUCUCCUCCAGCCUUCUAAUUCCUGGAGGAAGUCCACACACAUAGUCUUGAGCUUGACGCCCAUCCGCUGAAAGUCCAGUUAGUUCCUUCACCUUCCAACUCUCCACCAGGAACUCCAGAAUAUCAGCAUAGUCCUUGGCAGUGUAAACCCCAAUUCUUUGCGCAACAGCAGAGAAGUGGUCGAAAAGGUUGUCAUCUCGGCCAUCAUACAUCAAGUGGCCUGGCAUGGAGAUUUUCUUCCUCAUCAUGUCAGCGAAGGCCAGCAAAGUACCGUCAGGAUCAAUCUCAAAGAGCUUUUCGACAACUUUAGUAUAGGCUGUCCCGUGGCGCUUUUCAUCUGAGGCAAUGCUACCACAUAUUUGAGCCAAGUUAAUGUCCCCGUGUUUCUUAGCAAGCCUGGCUGAAUUCCCAUGGGAAAUAAAAGUUGCCCUUUCUUGGAAUGAUAUGUAGAUGAGUCCCAGAUAUGGGUUUUUCU
RNAcentral lists this long non-coding RNA (27652 nucleotides) under Theobroma cacao (cacao). RNAcentral describes it as "long non-coding RNA (TCAC_LNC002685)". Lineage: Eukaryota; Viridiplantae; Streptophyta; Magnoliopsida; Malvales; Malvaceae. The record is from RNAcentral.